This 64-nucleotide transfer RNA is filed under the name Catopsilia pomona (lemon migrant). RNAcentral's name for it is "tRNA-Thr". Lineage: Eukaryota; Metazoa; Arthropoda; Insecta; Lepidoptera; Pieridae. The record is from RNAcentral.
UUUUUAUAGUUUAAAAUAAAACAUUGGUCUUGUAAACCAAAAAUAAUCUUUUCGUUUAAAAACU